Pelobates cultripes (western spadefoot toad) is the source of this 76-nucleotide non-coding RNA. Lineage: Eukaryota; Metazoa; Chordata; Amphibia; Anura; Pelobatidae. The record is from the annotation of a GenBank genome assembly.
UGUGUGUGUGUGUGUGUGUGUGUGUGUGUUUGUGUGCAUAUGUAUACACACACACACACACACACAUAUAUACACG